GUCAGGAUGGCUGAGCAGUCUAAGGCACUGCAUUCAGGUUGCAGUCUCCCUGGGAGAUGUGGGUUCAAAUCCCACUUCCGACA
RNAcentral lists this transfer RNA (83 nucleotides) under Colius striatus (speckled mousebird). It matches the Rfam family "tRNA". Rfam says of the family: Transfer RNA (tRNA) molecules are approximately 80 nucleotides in length. Their secondary structure includes four short double-helical elements and three loops (D, anti-codon, and T loops). The record is from Rfam by way of RNAcentral. Lineage: Eukaryota; Metazoa; Chordata; Aves; Coliiformes; Coliidae.